Molecule: long non-coding RNA, 827 nt
Filed under: Equus asinus (donkey)
Lineage: Eukaryota; Metazoa; Chordata; Mammalia; Perissodactyla; Equidae
Description: lncRNA (ENSEASG00005025013.1)
Source: RNAcentral
AAAGCAGAAAGAAAAAAAAAGAAGAUUGGCCACAGUUGUUAGCUCAGGUGCCAAUCUUGAAAAAAAAAAAAAAAAGAAAAAAAAAAAGAAGAAAAAAAGGAGAUUCAGCCUCACAAAGCUAAACGCAGGCUGAGGAUGAAAACUAGCCAGAAAAGUGAAGAUAAAGAAAAAGAGAGAUUCAGUGCUCAAGACCAAACAGGCUGAAGACGCCAGCCAGCACAGCCACAUGCUCCCCCUCCCCUACCUAAAACCCCAAAUAAAAACCCCUCCCUUUUUCCCUUCAAGGAGGUGGAUCUGAGUUCUAGCUCCCAUCUCCUCGUCUGACUGCCUUUUGAUAAUAAACCUCUUUCCUUGCCACAAGCCUGACGUUUCAGUUAACUGACCUUCCUGUGCAUUGGGUAGCAAGCCUGUGUUUGUGUUCGAUAACACCCAGGUGGGUCUGAUUCCAGAUCCAGCCUGUGGAAGGACUGACUGCCUGGCUCACGUGGAUACCCUUCCCGCCCCAAAGAAUCUCAUUCAGCCUUUUUACCUAUGGCAGCCACUACAAGAAAAAUCACAUUCCAUCAAACUUUUUGACAGUUGCCCAUGCCCAGGAAGGACUGGACUGUCACCCAUGGGAGUGAGCUCCCCAUCUUUGGAGCAUUUUUGUUGAGAUUAACAUAGGCAUGGUCAAGUUCACAAACGUCACAAGUAGAGGCUGAUGAGGGUGAUGACCUUCCAGUCUGGAUCUAGCACAUUCCCAGCCUCUGGCAGUUGUUGGACACUCCAGGUGAUUCUCCUGUCCCCCAAGGCGACCACUGCCCUGACCUCUGUUGCUGUAGGUGAGU